Molecule: unclassified non-coding RNA, 300 nt
Organism: Callithrix jacchus (white-tufted-ear marmoset)
Lineage: Eukaryota; Metazoa; Chordata; Mammalia; Primates; Cebidae
Rfam family: Metazoan signal recognition particle RNA
About the family: The signal recognition particle (SRP) is a universally conserved ribonucleoprotein. It is involved in the co-translational targeting of proteins to membranes.
Source: Ensembl
CCUGGGCGUGGUGGCGCAUGCCUGUAGUUACAGCUACUGGGGAGGCUGAGGUGGAAGGAUCGUUUGAGCCUAGGAGUUGUGGGCUCUAGUGCACUAUGCUGAUUGGGUGGCCGCACUAAGUUUGGCAUCAAUGUGGUGACCUCCUGGGAGUGGGGCACCACCAGGUUGCCUAAGGAGGGGUGAACAGGCCCAGGUCGAAAAUGGAGCAGGUCAGAAUUCCUAUGCUGAUCAGUAGUGGGAUCGCACCUGUGAAUAGCCACUGCAUUCCAGCCUGGGCAACAUAGUGAGACUUCGUCUCAA